RNAcentral lists this small nuclear RNA (141 nucleotides) under Otolemur garnettii (small-eared galago). RNAcentral's name for it is "U1 spliceosomal RNA (ENSOGAG00000027172.1)". It matches the Rfam family "U1 spliceosomal RNA". From Rfam's summary of the family: U1 is a small nuclear RNA (snRNA) component of the spliceosome (involved in pre-mRNA splicing). Its 5' end forms complementary base pairs with the 5' splice junction, thus defining the 5' donor site of an intron. Lineage: Eukaryota; Metazoa; Chordata; Mammalia; Primates; Galagidae. The record is from RNAcentral.
AUACUUAUCUGGCAGGGGAGACACUGUGAUCAUGAAGGUGGUUCCCCCAGAGCAAAGCUUGUCCCCUGCACUCCCGGGAGAGAAGAGAUUAUUUAAUUAUUUAAUGUACAGUGCACGUUGUUUGGGUGAUGGAUACUCUAA